RNAcentral lists this ribosomal RNA (759 nucleotides) under Triticum aestivum (bread wheat). Its description in RNAcentral is "partial small subunit ribosomal RNA". Lineage: Eukaryota; Viridiplantae; Streptophyta; Magnoliopsida; Poales; Poaceae. The record is from RNAcentral.
AUGGCGUCGACGGCCGUGGCGGACGCGAACGGCGGGGGAUUCGGGGUCGGGGCCGCCGGAGUGGGGCAGGUCCUCGACGGCUCCAACCCGGCCAUCGUCCGGCUCCGGCAGCUCGUCGACGGGCCCCAGUCCUCAGAGGGGUGGAGGCGGUGCUGGGAGCAGGGCGUGACGCCGUGGGACCUGGGCCAGCCCACGCCGGCCGUCGUCAAGCUGGUGCAGUCCGGCACCCUCCCCGCCGGCGGCGCCACCGUGCUCGUCCCGGGAUGCGGCGGGGGGUACGACGCGGUGGCCCUGUCCGGCGGCGGGCGCUCCGUGGUGGGCCUCGACGUCUGCGACGCCGUCAUCCAGAGGGCCAGGCAGCGGUCGUCCGCGUCGGACGUGGCCUUCGUCAGCGCCGACUUCUUCACCUGGGCGGCGCCGGAGCCCUUCCAUCUCAUCUUGGACUACACAUUCUUCUGCGCCCUUGACCCGUCGGUGAGGCCGGCGUGGGCGGCGAGGAUGGAGGAGCUGCUGCGGCCGGACGGAGAGCUCAUCACCCUCAUGUACCUGCCCCAAGACCAGGACUCGGGGCCACCGUACAACACCACAGUGCUCGACUACGAGGAGGUGCUCAACCCCCUGGGCUUCGUCAUCGAGUCGAUCGAAGACAACGAUGUUGCAGUCGAGCCACGCAAGGGGCUGGAGAAGAUCGCAAGGUGGAAGAAGACGGCAGCUGGAGCCGAAACGUCCACAACAGACAAGCCCUCUGAUAAUCUAUAG